RNAcentral lists this ribosomal RNA (407 nucleotides) under uncultured bacterium. RNAcentral's name for it is "partial 16S ribosomal RNA". It matches the Rfam family "Bacterial small subunit ribosomal RNA", at positions 30 to 526 of the family's 1533-position model. The record is from RNAcentral.
AUUGAACGCUGGCGGCAGGCCUAACACAUGCAAGUCGAGCGGAGCGGCGGACGGGUGAGUAAUGCCUAGGAAUCUGCCUGGUAGUGGGGGAUACCGUCCGGAAACGGGCGCUAAUCCCGCAUCCUAUCAGAUGAGCCUAGGGCGGAUGAGCUAUUUGGGUGGGUAAAGGCCUACAAAGGCGACGAUCCGUAACUGGUCUGAGAGGAUGAUCAGUCACACGGGAACUGAGACACGGUCCAGACUCCUACGGGAGGCAGCAGUGGGGAAUAUUGGACAAUGGGCGAAAGCCGGAUCCAGCCAUGCCGCGUGUGUGAAGAAGGUCUUCGGAUUGUAAAGCACUUGAAGUUGGGAGGCGUUACCAACAGAAUAAGCACCGGCUAACUUCGUGCCAGCAGCCGCGGUAAUUC